ACGUGAUGUGCGCGUGUGUAUGCGCAUGCAUAUAUAUGUAUACACACACACACACACACACACACACACACACACACACAC
Molecule: microRNA precursor, 81 nt
Filed under: Mustela putorius furo (domestic ferret)
Lineage: Eukaryota; Metazoa; Chordata; Mammalia; Carnivora; Mustelidae
Description: miRNA (ENSMPUG00000022450.1)
Source: RNAcentral